AGCGUACACGGUGGAUGCCCUGGCAGUCAGAGGCGAUGAAGGACGUGCUAAUCUGCGAUAAGCGCCGGUAAGGUGAUAUGAACCGUUAUAACCGGCGAUUUCCGAAUGGGGAAACCCAGUGUGACUCGUCACACUAUCAUUAACUGAAUCCAUAGGUUAAUGAGGCGAACCGGGGGAACUGAAACAUCUAAGUACCCCGAGGAAAAGAAAUCAACCGAGAUUCCCCCAGUAGCGGCGAGCGAACGGGGAGGAGCCCAGAGCCUGAAUCAGCAUGUGUGUUAGUGGAAGCGUCUGGAAAGGCGCGCGAUACAGGGUGACAGCCCCGUACACAAAAGCGCAUGUGCUGUGAGCUCGAUGAGUAGGGCGGGACACGUGGUAUCCUGUCUGAAUAUGGGGGGACCAUCCUCCAAGGCUAAAUACUCCUGACUGACCGAUAGUGAACCAGUACCGUGAGGGAAAGGCGAAAAGAACCCCGGCGAGGGGAGUGAAAAAGAACCUGAAACCGUGUACGUACAAGCAGUGGGAGCCCCACCACUAAGCCAGUGGUGAACUCCACAUACGCAUCCUUUGCUGAGGAUGCGGUUAACGGAGCGAAAGCGACGUUCAACCUCAAAAGAAGCAGAGGGGGCUUAGUGGUGGGGUGACUGCGUACCUUUUGUAUAAUGGGUCAGCGACUUAUAUUCUGUAGCAAGGUUAACCGAAUAGGGGAGCCGGAGGGAAACCGAGUCUUAAUUGGGCGUUAAGUUGCAGGGUAUAGACCCGAAACCCGGUGAUCUAGCCAUGGGCAGGUUGAAGGUUGGGUAACACUAACUGGAGGACCGAACCGACUAAUGUUGAAAAAUUAGCGGAUGACCUGUGGCUGGGGGUGAAAGGCCAAUCAAACCGGGAGAUAGCUGGUUCUCCCCGAAAGCUAUUUAGGUAGCGCCUCGUGAAUUCAUCUCCGGGGGUAGAGCACUGUUUCGGCUAGGGGGCCAUCCCGGCUUACCAACCCGAUGCAAACUGCGAAUACCGGAGAAUGUUAUCACGGGAGACACACGGCGGGUGCUAACGUCCGUCGUGAAGAGGGAAACAACCCAGACCGCCAGCUAAGGUCCCAAAGUCAUGGUUAAGUGGGAAACGAUGUGGGAAGGCCCAGACAGCCAGGAUGUUGGCUUAGAAGCAGCCAUCAUUUAAAGAAAGCGUAAUAGCUCACUGGUCGAGUCGGCCUGCGCGGAAGAUGUAACGGGGCUAAACCAUGCACCGAAGCUGCGGCAGCGACGCUGAUGCGUUGUUGGGUAGGGGAGCGUUCUGUAAGCCUGCGAAGGUGGCCUGUGAGGGUUGCUGGAGGUAUCAGAAGUGCGAAUGCUGACAUAAGUAACGAUAAAGCGGGUGAAAAGCCCGCUCGCCGGAAGACCAAGGGUUCCUGUCCAACGUUAAUCGGGGCAGGGUGAGUCGACCCCUAAGGCGAGGCCGAAAGGCGUAGUCGAUGGGAAACGGGUUAAUAUUCCCGUACUUGGUGUUACUGCGAAGGGGGGACGGAGAAGGCUAUGUUGGCCGGGCGACGGUUGUCCCGGUUUAAGCGUGUAGGUGUGUGUUCCAGGUAAAUCCGGUUCACUUUAACACUGAGGCGUGAUGACGAGGCACUACGGUGCUGAAGCAACAAAUGCCCUGCUUCCAGGAAAAGCCUCUAAGCAUCAGGUAACAUCAAAUCGUACCCCAAACCGACACAGGUGGUCAGGUAGAGAAUACCAAGGCGCUUGAGAGAACUCGGGUGAAGGAACUAGGCAAAAUGGUGCCGUAACUUCGGGAGAAGGCACGCUGACACGUAGGUGAAGUGAUUUACUCAUGGAGCUGAAGUCAGUCGAAGAUACCAGCUGGCUGCAACUGUUUAUUAAAAACACAGCACUGUGCAAACACGAAAGUGGACGUAUACGGUGUGACGCCUGCCCGGUGCCGGAAGGUUAAUUGAUGGGGUCAGCGCAAGCGAAGCUCCUGAUCGAAGCCCCGGUAAACGGCGGCCGUAACUAUAACGGUCCUAAGGUAGCGAAAUUCCUUGUCGGGUAAGUUCCGACCUGCACGAAUGGCGUAAUGAUGGCCAGGCUGUCUCCACCCGAGACUCAGUGAAAUUGAACUCGCUGUGAAGAUGCAGUGUACCCGCGGCAAGACGGAAAGACCCCGUGAACCUUUACUAUAGCUUGACACUGAACAUUGAGCCUUGAUGUGUAGGAUAGGUGGGAGGCUUUGAAGUGUGGACGCCAGUCUGCAUGGAGCCGGCCUUGAAAUACCACCCUUUAAUGUUUGAUGUUCUAACGUGGACCCGUGAUCCGGGUUGCGGACAGUGUCUGGUGGGUAGUUUGACUGGGGCGGUCUCCUCCUAAAGAGUAACGGAGGAGCACGAAGGUUGGCUAAUCCUGGUCGGACAUCAGGAGGUUAGUGCAAUGGCAUAAGCCAGCUUGACUGCGAGCGUGACGGCGCGAGCAGGUGCGAAAGCAGGUCAUAGUGAUCCGGUGGUUCUGAAUGGAAGGGCCAUCGCUCAACGGAUAAAAGGUACUCCGGGGAUAACAGGCUGAUACCGCCCAAGAGUUCAUAUCGACGGCGGUGUUUGGCACCUCGAUGUCGGCUCAUCACAUCCUGGGGCUGAAGUAGGUCCCAAGGGUAUGGCUGUUCGCCAUUUAAAGUGGUACGCGAGCUGGGUUUAGAACGUCGUGAGACAGUUCGGUCCCUAUCUGCCGUGGGCGCUGGAGAACUGAGGGGGGCUGCUCCUAGUACGAGAGGACCGGAGUGGACGCAUCACUGGUGUUCGGGUUGUCAUGCCAAUGGCACUGCCCGGUAGCUAAAUGCGGAAGAGAUAAGUGCUGAAAGCAUCUAAGCACGAAACUUGCCCCGAGAUGAGUUCU
Molecule: ribosomal RNA, 2876 nt
Filed under: Salmonella enterica subsp. enterica serovar Schwarzengrund
Lineage: Bacteria; Pseudomonadati; Pseudomonadota; Gammaproteobacteria; Enterobacterales; Enterobacteriaceae
Description: bacterial LSU rRNA
Rfam family: Bacterial large subunit ribosomal RNA
Source: RNAcentral